This 373-nucleotide small RNA is filed under the name Cryptococcus neoformans H99. RNAcentral's name for it is "Cryptococcus neoformans var. grubii H99 hypothetical RNA". The record is from RNAcentral. Lineage: Eukaryota; Fungi; Basidiomycota; Tremellomycetes; Tremellales; Cryptococcaceae.
CGAAGAAAGAAACCAACAAACAUAAGAGACGGAAACGAAAACGAGACGGAUGCCACGAAUGAUGUCAUAGUCAUCUUCACGGGUUGAAAGAAGAUUUUGCUCGUAUAAUUAUUGGUCGACAAACAAAAAGCGUCGUCUUGGUGUGCUUGGGUAUUCACCGCCGUCGCCAAGAACGGAGUCGUGGGGGGCGUGAGAAAUAAGAAAGGGCAUCAUCAUCAUCGUUGAUUCAUUGUUCAUCUCAGUUAAGCGGUCAACUGGGGCCAAAUAUUUACAGGAAUUAAAGGAAUUAUGAGGAGCUCGAUGCUGUCUCAAAGACCACUUCCAAUGGAAUACACUAGCAUCCUUUAUACAGCAUGCAUGUCUUGCUCGCCAA